RNAcentral lists this ribosomal RNA (429 nucleotides) under Actinomycetes bacterium. Its description in RNAcentral is "Actinobacteria bacterium partial 16S ribosomal RNA". It matches the Rfam family "Bacterial small subunit ribosomal RNA", at positions 355 to 776 of the family's 1533-position model. The record is from RNAcentral. Lineage: Bacteria; Bacillati; Actinomycetota; Actinomycetes.
UAGGGAAUCUUCCGCAAUCGGCGAAAGCCUGACGGAGCAACGCCGCGUGAGUGAUGAAGGUCUUCGGAUCGUAAAACUCUGUUAUUAGGGAAGAACAAAUGUGUAAGUAACUAUGCACGUCUUGACGGUACCUAAUCAGAAAGCCACGGCUAACUACGUGCCAGCAGCCGCGGUAAUACGUAGGUGGCAAGCGUUAUCCGGAAUUAUUGGGCGUAAAGCGCGCGUAGGCGGUUUUUUAAGUCUGAUGUGAAAGCCCACGGCUCAACCGUGGAGGGUCAUUGGAAACUGGAAAACUUGAGUGCAGAAGAGGAAAGUGGAAUUCCAUGUGUAGCGGUGAAAUGCGCAGAGAUAUGGAGGAACACCAGUGGCGAAGGCGACUUUCUGGUCUGUAACUGACGCUGAUGUGCGAAAGCGUGGGGAUCAAACAGG